CAUUGGUCCAGAGUGCAGUGGUGUUUACAACUAAUUGAUCACAACCAGUUAUAGAUUCUUUUGUUCCUUCUCUGCUUCCACUGCUUCACUUGACCAGCCUCAA
This 103-nucleotide Y RNA is filed under the name Microcebus murinus (gray mouse lemur). Its description in RNAcentral is "Y RNA (ENSMICG00000022718.3)". It matches the Rfam family "Y RNA". Rfam says of the family: Y RNAs are components of the Ro ribonucleoprotein particle (Ro RNP), in association with Ro60 and La proteins. The Y RNAs and Ro60 and La proteins are well conserved, but the function of the Ro RNP is not known. In humans the RNA component can be one of four small RNAs -- hY1, hY3, hY4 and hY5. Lineage: Eukaryota; Metazoa; Chordata; Mammalia; Primates; Cheirogaleidae. The record is from Rfam by way of RNAcentral.